GUACCAUGCAGUCGAGCGAGAUCUUCGGAUCUAGCGGCGGACGGGUGAGUAACGCGUGGGAACGUACCCUCUUCUGCGGGAUAGCCACUGGAAACGGUGAGUAAUACCGCAUACGCCCUUCGGGGGAAAGAUUUAUCGGAGGAGGAUCGGCCCGCGUUGGAUUAGGUAGUUGGUGGGGUAAUGGCCUACCAAGCCUACGAUCCAUAGCUGGUUUUAGAGGAUGAUCAGCCACACUGGGACUGAGACACGGCCCAGACUCCUACGGGAGGCAGCAGUGGGGAAUCUUAGACAAUGGGCGCAAGCCUGAUCUAGCCAUGCCGCGUGAGUGACGAAGGCCUUAGGGUCGUAAAGCUCUUUCGCCUGUGAUGAUAAUGACAGUAGCAGGUAAAGAAACCCCGGCUAACUCCGUGCCAGCAGCCGCGGUAAUACGGAGGGGGUUAGCGUUGUUCGGAAUUACUGGGCGUAAAGCGCACGUAGGCGGAUUGGAAAGUAUGGGGUGAAAUCCCAGGGCUCAACCCUGGAACGGCCUCAUAAACUUCCAGUCUGGAGUUCGAGAGAGGUGAGUGGAAUUCCGAGUGUAGAGGUGAAAUUCGUAGAUAUUCGGAGGAACACCAGUGGCGAAGGCGGCUCACUGGCUCGAUACUGACGCUGAGGUGCGAAAGUGUGGGGAGCAAACAGGAUUAGAUACCCUGGUAGUCCACACCG
This 705-nucleotide ribosomal RNA is filed under the name Roseovarius sp. Its description in RNAcentral is "bacterial SSU rRNA". It matches the Rfam family "Bacterial small subunit ribosomal RNA", at positions 51 to 802 of the family's 1533-position model. The record is from RNAcentral. Lineage: Bacteria; Pseudomonadati; Pseudomonadota; Alphaproteobacteria; Rhodobacterales; Roseobacteraceae.